RNAcentral lists this ribosomal RNA (497 nucleotides) under uncultured bacterium. RNAcentral describes it as "partial 16S ribosomal RNA". It matches the Rfam family "Bacterial small subunit ribosomal RNA", at positions 28 to 507 of the family's 1533-position model. The record is from RNAcentral.
GAUGAACGCUGGCGGCGUGCCUAAUACAUGCAAGUCGAGCGAACAGACGAGGAGUUUGCUCCUCUGACGUUUGCGGCGGACGGGUGAGUCACACGUGGAUCCUCUCCCUUUACGACUGGGAUCACUUCGGGAAACCGGCGCUAAUCCCGGAUAAUUUAUUGAACCGUAUGGUUCAAUAGUAAAAGACGGUUUUGCCGUCACUUAUUGAACGAUCCGUGCCGCAUUUGCUAGUUGGUGAGGUAACGGCUUACCAAGGCAACGAUUCGUCGCCGACCGGAGGGGGGGAGCGGCAACACUGGAACUGGAACACGGUCCGGACUCCUAGGGAGGGCAGCAGUAGGGAAUCUUCGGCAAUGGGCGAAAGCCGAACGGAGCAACGCCGCGGGAGGGAGGAAGGUCUUCGGAUCGUAAAACUCUGUGAUUAGGGAAGAACAAAUGUGUAAUUAACUAUGCACGUCGUGACGGUACCUAAUCAGAAAGCCACGGCUAACUACGUG